RNAcentral lists this small nucleolar RNA (128 nucleotides) under Octodon degus (degu). Its description in RNAcentral is "U8 small nucleolar RNA (ENSODEG00000024775.1)". It matches the Rfam family "U8 small nucleolar RNA". Rfam says of the family: U8 is a member of the C/D class of snoRNA which contain the C (UGAUGA) and D (CUGA) box motifs. The record is from Rfam by way of RNAcentral. Lineage: Eukaryota; Metazoa; Chordata; Mammalia; Rodentia; Octodontidae.
CCAUUAGCAUACCCUACCUGUUCCUUCUUUUGGAGGGCAAAUAGAAUAUGGUGAUUGGAGUGUCUCAUGACAUUGAUUAUUGUGCUGCAUAAUCAGGACUUGCCACACCCUGAUUACUCCUAUCUGAC